Molecule: ribosomal RNA, 447 nt
Filed under: uncultured bacterium
Lineage: Bacteria
Description: SSU rRNA
Rfam family: Bacterial small subunit ribosomal RNA
Source: RNAcentral
AGAGCGAACGCUGGCGGCAGGCCUAACACAUGCAAGUCGAGCGCCCGUAGCAAUACGGGAGCGGCAGACGGGAUAGUAACACGUGGGAACGCGCCCUUCGGUUCGGAAUAACUCAGGGAAACUUGAGCUAAUACCGGAUACGCCCUUACGGGGAAAGAUUUAUUGCCGAAAGAUCGGCCCGCGUCUGAUUAGCUAGUUGGUGAGGUAACGGCUCACCAAGGCGACGAUCAGUAGCUGGUCUGAGAGGAUGAUCAGCCACAUUGGGACUGAGACACGGCCCAAACUCCUACGGGAGGCAGCAGUGGGGAAUAUUGGACAAUGGGCGCAAGCCUGAUCCAGCCAUGCCGCGUGAGUGAUGAAGGCCCUAGGGUUGUAAAGCUCUUUUGUGCGGGAAGAUAAUGACGGUACCGCAAGAAUAAGCCCGGCUAACUUCGUGCCAGCAGCCGC